GACGAACGCUGGCGGCGUGCUUAACACAUGCAAGUCGAACGAUGAAGCCUAGCUUGCUAGGUGGAUUAGUGGCGAACGGGUGAGUAAUACGUGAGUAACCUACCUUUAACUCUGGGAUAAGCCCGGGAAGCUGGGUCUAAUACCGGAUACGACCAAUCUCCGCAUGGGGUGUUGGUGGAAAGCGUUAUGUAGUGGUUAUAGAUGGGCUCACGGCCUAUCAGCUUGUUGGUGAGGUAACGGCUCACCAAGGCGACGACGGGUAGCCGGCCUGAGAGGGUGACCGGCCACACUGGGACUGAGACACGGCCCAGACUCCUACGGGAGGCAGCAGUGGGGAAUAUUGCACAAUGGGCGCAAGCCUGAUGCAGCGACGCCGCGUGAGGGAUGACGGCCUUCGGGUUGUAAACCUCUGUUAGCAGGGAAGAAGAGAGAUUGACGGUACCUGCAGAGAAAGCGCCGGCUAACUACGUG
This 471-nucleotide ribosomal RNA is filed under the name uncultured bacterium. RNAcentral's name for it is "partial 16S ribosomal RNA". It matches the Rfam family "Bacterial small subunit ribosomal RNA", at positions 28 to 507 of the family's 1533-position model. The record is from RNAcentral.